ACACCUUUGGUGUAACGGUAGCAUGUCGUCGGACCAAUGCAAUGCGUUCGACCGACGAGCGGUCCGGGUUCGACUCUCGGUGGGUGUA
Auriculariales sp. MPI-PUGE-AT-0066 is the source of this 88-nucleotide non-coding RNA. Lineage: Eukaryota; Fungi; Basidiomycota; Agaricomycetes; Auriculariales. The record is from the annotation of a GenBank genome assembly.